GACGAACGCUGGCGGCGUGCUUAACACAUGCAAGUCGAACGGAAAGGCCUGCUUUCCCUUGUGGCUUGCGGGUACUCGAGUGGCGAACGGAUGAGUAACACGUGUAUGAUCUGCCCCCAACUUUGGUAUAAGCCUGGGAAACUGGGUCGAAUUCCCUAUAGGACUGCAGGGUGGUGCCUGUGGUGGAAAACGAUUUUCUAGUGGUUGGGGAUGAGCUCGCGGCCUAUCAGCUUGUUGGUGGGGUAAUUGCCUACCAAGGCGGCGACGGGUAGCCGGCCUGGGAGGGUGGACGGGCGCAUUGGGACGGAGAUCAGGCGCAGACGCCUAGGGGAGGCAGGAGUGGGGAAGAUUGGACGAUGGGCGGAAGCCUGAUGCAGCGACGCCGCGGGGGGGAUGACGGGCUUCGGGUGGUAAACUCCUUUCGACCGAGAGGAAGCCACCUGGUUGGAAGGGUGGUGACGGUAGUGGUAGAAGAAGCACCGGCUAACUACGUG
Molecule: ribosomal RNA, 494 nt
Filed under: uncultured bacterium
Lineage: Bacteria
Description: partial 16S ribosomal RNA
Rfam family: Bacterial small subunit ribosomal RNA
Source: RNAcentral